UAGCAGUAGCCCAGAUUUGGCUAGCCAUC
Molecule: non-coding RNA, 29 nt
Filed under: Rattus norvegicus (Norway rat)
Lineage: Eukaryota; Metazoa; Chordata; Mammalia; Rodentia; Muridae
Source: RNAcentral